Molecule: ribosomal RNA, 460 nt
Filed under: uncultured Streptococcus sp.
Lineage: Bacteria; Bacillati; Bacillota; Bacilli; Lactobacillales; Streptococcaceae
Description: bacterial SSU rRNA
Rfam family: Bacterial small subunit ribosomal RNA
Source: RNAcentral
CCCGCACAAGCGGUGGAGCAUGUGGUUAAUUCGACGCAACGCGAAGAACCUUACCAGGUCUUGACAUCCCGAUGCUAUUUCUAGAGAUAGAAAGUUACUUCGGUACAUUGGUGACAGGUGGUGCAUGGUUGUCGUCAGCUCGUGUCGUGAGAUGUUGGGUUAAGUCCCGCAACGAGCGCAACCCCUAUUGUUAGUUGCCAUCAUUCAGUUGGGCACUCUAGCGAGACUGCCGGUAAUAAACCGGAGGAAGUGGGGAUGACGUCAAAUCAUCAUGCCCCUUAUGUCUUGGGCUUCACGCAUGCUACAAUGGCCGGUACAAAGGGCUGCGAUACCGCGAGGUGGAGCGAAUCCCAGAAAGCCGGUCUCAGUUCGGAUUGGGGUCUGCAACUCGACCCCAUGAAGUCGGAGUCGCUAGUAAUCGCAGAUCAGCAACGCUGCGGUGAAUACGUUCCCGGGCCUU